AACGAACGCUGGCGGCAGGCCUAACACAUGCAAGUCGAGCGAGGACUUCGGUCCUAGCGGCGGACGGGUGAGUAACGCGUGGGAACGUGCCCUUUGCUUCGGAAUAGCCCUGGGAAACUGGGAGUAAUACCGGAUGAGCCCUUUGGGGGAAAGAUUUAUCGGCGAAGGAUCGGCCCGCGUUGGAUUAGGUAGUUGGUGGGGUAAUGGCCUACCAAGCCGACGAUCCAUAGCUGGUUUGAGAGGAUGAUCAGCCACACUGGGACUGAGACACGGCCCAGACUCCUACGGGAGGCAACAGUGGGGAAUCUUAGACAAUGGGGGAAACCCUGAUCUAGCCAUGCCGCGUGAGCGAUGAAGGCCUUAGGGUUGUAAAGCUCUUUCAGCUGGGAAGAUAAUGACGGUACCAGCAGAAGAAGCCCCGGCUAACUCCGU
This 432-nucleotide ribosomal RNA is filed under the name uncultured bacterium. Its description in RNAcentral is "partial 16S ribosomal RNA". It matches the Rfam family "Bacterial small subunit ribosomal RNA", at positions 29 to 506 of the family's 1533-position model. The record is from RNAcentral.